GACUUUUUAGUUUAAUAAAAAUAUGGGUUUUGUAAACCUAAGAUAAUUUUAUAUUAUUAGUCU
This 63-nucleotide transfer RNA is filed under the name Rhinebothrium fulbrighti. RNAcentral describes it as "tRNA-Thr". Lineage: Eukaryota; Metazoa; Platyhelminthes; Cestoda; Rhinebothriidea; Rhinebothriidae. The record is from RNAcentral.